GACGAACGCUGGCGGCGUGCUUAACACAUGCAAGUCGAACGGAAAGGCCCUGCUUUUGUGGGGUGCUCGAGUGGCGAACGGGUGAGUAACACGUGAGUAACCUGCCCUUGACUUUGGGAUAACUUCAGGAAACUGGGGCUAAUACCGGAUAGGAGCUCCUGCUGCAUGGUGGGGGUUGGAAAGUUUCGGCGGUUGGGGAUGGACUCGCGGCUUAUCAGCUUGUUGGUGGGGUAGUGGCUUACCAAGGCUUUGACGGGUAGCCGGCCUGAGAGGGUGACCGGCCACAAUGGGACUGAGAUACGGCCCAGACUCCUACGGGAGGCAGCAGGGGGAAAUAUUGCACAAUGGGCGGAAGCCUGAUGCAGCAACGCCGCGUGCGGGAUGACGGCCUUCGGGUUGUAAACCGCUUUCGCCUGUGACGAAGCGUGAGUGACGGUAAUGGGUAAAGAAGCACCGGCUAACUACGUG
This 468-nucleotide ribosomal RNA is filed under the name uncultured bacterium. RNAcentral's name for it is "partial 16S ribosomal RNA". It matches the Rfam family "Bacterial small subunit ribosomal RNA", at positions 28 to 507 of the family's 1533-position model. The record is from RNAcentral.